RNAcentral lists this ribosomal RNA (253 nucleotides) under uncultured bacterium. RNAcentral's name for it is "partial 16S ribosomal RNA". It matches the Rfam family "Bacterial small subunit ribosomal RNA", at positions 524 to 776 of the family's 1533-position model. The record is from RNAcentral.
UACAGAGGGUGCGAGCGUUAAUCGGAAUUACUGGGCGUAAAGCGUGCGUAGACGGCUAUCUAAGUCGGGUGUGAAAGCCCCGGGCUCAACCUGGGAAUUGCAUUCGAGACUGAAUAGCUAGGGUGCGGUAGAGGGAAGCGGAAUUUCCGGUGUAGCGGUGAAAUGCGUAGAUAUCGGAAGGAACAUCAGUGACGAAAGCGGCUUCCUGGACCAGCACCGACGUUCAGGCACGAAAGCGUGGGGAGCAAACAGG